AGUGAACGCUGGCGGUAGGCCUAACACAUGCAAGUCGAACGGCAGCGCAGUAAGAUCUUGCUCUUAUGGGUGGCGAGUGGCGGACGGGUGAGGCAUACAUCGGAAUCUACUUUUUCGGGGGGGAUAUCGUAGGGCAACUUAUGCUAAUACCGCAUACGACCUACGGUUGAAAGCAGGGGAUCUUCGUACCUUUCCCGAUUGAAUGAGUCGCUUUCCGAUUAGCUAGUUGGCGGGGUAAAGGCCCACCAAGCCGACCGACCGCAGCUGGUCGGCCGGGUGGGCGGCCCCAAUGGGAAUGGGGACCGGGUCAAGACUCCUACGGAAGGCAGCGGAGGGGAAUAUUGGACAUUGGGCGCAAGCCUGCUCAAGACAUACCGCGUAGGUAAAGAAGGCCUCCGGGUUUUAAAGCCCUUUUGUUGGGAAAGAAAAGCAGCAGGUUGAUACCCCGCUGUUCUGACGGUACCCAAAGAAUAAGCACCGGCUAACUUCGUG
RNAcentral lists this ribosomal RNA (492 nucleotides) under uncultured bacterium. Its description in RNAcentral is "partial 16S ribosomal RNA". It matches the Rfam family "Bacterial small subunit ribosomal RNA", at positions 29 to 507 of the family's 1533-position model. The record is from RNAcentral.